Long non-coding RNA from Vidua chalybeata, 214 nucleotides. RefSeq lists it as uncharacterized. NCBI's taxonomy places the organism in Eukaryota, Metazoa, Chordata, Aves, Passeriformes, Viduidae. The transcript is spliced from 3 exons. The record is from RefSeq and is a predicted model, not a curated record.
AUUUUGGGGGUCCCUGCUCCAGUUUGGGAUAGAACCGUCCAUUGCAGAUUUUGGGGGGGAGGUUUUGGGGGGCCUCAGGUGAUUUUUGGGGUCCCUCAGGUGCGUUUCGGCCCCCCCCGUGCCAGCGCCGGGUGGAACUGUCCCGGGUGGAACUGUCCAUUACCGAUCCGGGGGGGUUCCAGGUGAAUUUCAGGGUUCCAGAUGCGUUUCGGCC